GUGCUCGCUUCAGCAGCAUAUAUACUAAAAUUGGAAGGAUACAGAGAAGAUUAGCAUGGCCUCUGUGCAAGGAUGACACGCAAAUUUGUGAAGCGUUCCAUAUUUUU
This 107-nucleotide small nuclear RNA is filed under the name Aotus nancymaae (Ma's night monkey). Lineage: Eukaryota; Metazoa; Chordata; Mammalia; Primates; Aotidae. The record is from RNAcentral.